UGGGGAAUAUUGCACAAUGGGCGCAAGCCUGAUGCAGCCAUGCCGCGUGUAUGAAGAUGGCCUUCGGGUUGUAAAGUACUUUCAGCGGGGAGGAAGGGAGUAAAGUUAAUACCUUUGCUCAUUGACGUUACCCGCAGAAGAAGCACCGGCUAACUCCGUGCCAGCAGCCGCGGUAAUACGGAGGGUGCAAGCGUUAAUCGGAAUUACUGGGCGUAAAGCGCACGCAGGCGGUCUGUCAAGUCGGAUGUGAAAUCCCCGGGCUCAACCUGGGAACUGCAUUCGAAACUGGCAGGCUAGAGUCUUGUAGAGGGGGGUAGAAUUCCAGGUGUAGCGGUGAAAUGCGUAGAGAUCUGGAGGAAUACCGGUGGCGAAGGCGGCCCCCUGGACAAAGACUGACGCUCAGGUGCGAAAGCGUGGGGAGCAAACAGG
This 429-nucleotide ribosomal RNA is filed under the name Chloroflexota bacterium. Its description in RNAcentral is "Chloroflexi bacterium partial 16S ribosomal RNA". It matches the Rfam family "Bacterial small subunit ribosomal RNA", at positions 355 to 776 of the family's 1533-position model. The record is from RNAcentral. Lineage: Bacteria; Bacillati; Chloroflexota.